RNAcentral lists this ribosomal RNA (489 nucleotides) under uncultured bacterium. Its description in RNAcentral is "partial 16S ribosomal RNA". It matches the Rfam family "Bacterial small subunit ribosomal RNA", at positions 30 to 507 of the family's 1533-position model. The record is from RNAcentral.
AUUGAACGCUGGCGGCAUGCCUUACACAUGCGAGUCGAACGGCAGCAUGAUCUAGCUUGCUAGAUUGAUGCGAGUGGCGAACGGGUGAGUAAUACAUCGGAACGUGCCCUGUAGUGGGGGAUAACUAGUCGAAAGAUUAGCUAAUACCGCAUACGACCUGAGGGUGAAAGUGGGGGACCGCAAGGCCUCAUGCUAUAGGAGCGGCCGAUGUCUGAUUAGCUAGUUGGUGGGGUAAAGGCCCACCAAGGCGACGAUCAGUAGCUGGUCUGAGAGGACGAUCAGCCACACUGGGACUGAGACACGGCCCAGACUCCUACGGGAGGCAGCAGUGGGGAAUUUUGGACAAUGGGGGCAACCCUGAUCCAGCAAUGCCGCGUGUGUGAAGAAGGCCUUCGGGUUGUAAAGCACUUUUGUCCGGAAAGAAAUCGCACUUACUAAUAUUAGGUGUGGAUGACGGUACCGGAAGAAUAAGGACCGGCUAACUACGUG